Molecule: ribosomal RNA, 79 nt
Filed under: Heterophaeomoniella pinifoliorum
Lineage: Eukaryota; Fungi; Ascomycota; Eurotiomycetes; Phaeomoniellales
Description: Phaeomoniella pinifoliorum partial 5.8S ribosomal RNA
Rfam family: 5.8S ribosomal RNA
About the family: 5.8S ribosomal RNA (5.8S rRNA) is a component of the large subunit of the eukaryotic ribosome.
Source: RNAcentral
AUUCAGUGAAUCAUCGAAUCUUUGAACGCACAUUGCGCCCUUUGGUAUUCCGAAGGGCAUGCCUAUUCGAGCGUCAUUA